Molecule: long non-coding RNA, 870 nt
Filed under: Hordeum vulgare
Lineage: Eukaryota; Viridiplantae; Streptophyta; Magnoliopsida; Poales; Poaceae
Description: long non-coding RNA (HVUL_LNC002737)
Source: RNAcentral
UCCAGAGGGGUAAGAUUUCCUUGAGAUUUCCAUGUAAUGUUAGUAGCAAAACAGUCCAUCUGGUAGUAAUUAUCAUGCAAACUUGUCUUUUGAAUUCACAGAAUGGAUCCAAGUUCAAGUUAUUUGCUUAAAAUUAAAUUGUUUGGCAAUCGAAAGAAAGCUUGAAAGGACAUAAGAUGUUUUUGUUUUGAGAAGGUCAUCGAUUGUGACUUGACAAAUUAUAAGGAUUUGGUUGAAUCAAUUGUAGAGCAGUAUCCGCCGGGUUAUUUGGAAGUUGCACAUGUGCAGUAUUAUGAUGAUGUUCUUAAAACUUGUCCAGAAGUAAAAUCUGACCAAGAUUUGAUGCUUAUGUUUGAAAUUACUGCUGCCAUACAUGUACAAGUGUACAUCAACGAAGGGAAAGAAGAUGGAGCUUGCUAAAAAGGAUGAAAUUUGUGCUAUGGUACCAUUUGACAGCCCUGCAAUGGGCACUAGAAGCAAAAAGACUAGUCCAACCAGCCCUGCAAUGAGCACAAGAAGCAAAAGAAGGCUUAGCUUGUGAACAUGUCAUAUUGUGUGAACUCAUGUAUAUGAAGCUUUGGUCACUUGGACUAUGUAUGUGAACCUGGAUAUGAUGACAAUCCUUCUGUGUUGCUCAUAUGAUGUGAACUUGAAUGUUGGACCUAUAUAUAUGAACCUGGAUAUGUUGUACGUGAUAUAUGCGUAUUUGGAUAUGAGCCUGGAUGUUUAUGUGCAAAUCUGAAUAUUAUUUGUUGAAAUAUAUGUAUAUGUGAAUUGUGUGAUCCUAAUAUGCAUCAAUUUAUAGGAAAGGUUCUGCUCAAAUUUUGAAUUACUUAGUAUGUGAUGUAUUUUGCUCACAACUUCAUCAGG